Molecule: long non-coding RNA, 2419 nt
Filed under: Sorghum bicolor (sorghum)
Lineage: Eukaryota; Viridiplantae; Streptophyta; Magnoliopsida; Poales; Poaceae
Description: long non-coding RNA (SBIC_LNC012240)
Source: RNAcentral
GGGGUUCUUGCUGCGCCGACGAUGAGCUUAUUAAGUUGUUAUGUUCAUUUGAUUAUCGUUUAUGUUAAGAAUUAAUUAUGCUUACACUUAAUCGUGGGAUUAAUGGAUUAUUUAUGCUACCUUGGCAAUUGCUAUUUAAUUAUGAACUUGCUAUCCACUAUUAAAAGCUAAAUGCAGUCAAACCCGUGUCAGCUAUUUGAGCCUCAUGAAUCCCUGGUUAUACUUGUUGAGUACGAUAUGUGCUCACUCUUGCAAUUUCCCAACACCCCCAGGUUAUGAUAAUGAAGAUGACUGGAAUGAGGAUUACCGUUAUGAGUACUAGGUUUGGAGUCAACCAGUCAGCAGUGUCCCUGUGUGGAGCUUCUGUCGAGAGCGUUGUUACUUCAUGCUAUCAUUUUUGUAUGAGACUAUGUCAUAUAUUAUAUUCCGCUAUGUAAUAAACACUGCAAUGGUACAUUUGAGAUUUGUCUACUUAUGUGUGCGACUGUUUCUGGGACACAUAUGAGUCUUUUAUGCAUCCUAUUUUAUUCUUAAAAUAUGGGUGUGACAGUGACUAUAAAUACUAGAAUUGCAAUAGGAGGCUUACCUAACAAUUAGAGCUAGAGCAAACUGCAUUUAUAGCCAUUUGUGUUACUAACAAUUUGCUCUAGUGUUUUGAAGUUUUUUAAUAGGUUAUUCACCCUCCUCGAGCCAUCUAGGACCUUAGAAUAUUCCACUUGGCCGCGGGUGCCACGCAAAGAACCAAAAAUGUUGGAGCUUUCGAGCUCCAACAAGUUGCUCCGAAAAGUUUUUGGUUUAGUCCAUGAGAAUUUUUGCAAUUUUUUUAGAUUUUCAUCACUUUCAUUUGUAUUUAAUAAAUAUUAUUCAAAAUGUGGCCUAAAAUAGGCUCAAAAUCAAUAAUCCAUGUCGUAAAUUAUAGGUAUUGUGCAAUUACUUAUUUUUUACCUAUUUUUAAUGCUCUAUGCAUAUGCUACAACAUUCAAUGUGAUAGGGAUUUUGAUUUUUUUUUUUUUUGGAUUUUAGGGCCAACUAAACAAUCAACACAUCAUUUUUGAAGCGUGCCGUCAAAUUAAACACUAUAUACAACAAGUUCAGAUUUAUGCAACCAUUUAUUUGUACAUGGAAUAAGUACAUGAUUUGAUUUUUUUGACACAGUUUGUAAAGUUUCACUUCUCAAAAGAAAAAUAUAUACUUAGGGUUGAUGGUUUGAAAGAGCGUAUCACGAGGAAAAUACGAUUUGAAGCGUGCCGUCAAACGCUAUACAACAAGUUACAGGUUACACAAUUACAUACAAAGAGAAAAUUGAAAUUUGCUAUGCUGAUAACCUAGUUUUUUUAUCGUGUUUAAAUUCAAUUUUAUCCAACAAAGGCCUUGUUUAGUUUCAUUUUUUUUUGGAAAAAUGACAUUGUAGCAUUUUCGUUUUUAUUUGACAAAGGCCUUGUUUAGUUCCAUUUUUAUUUGAAAACUAGGCUUAAAAGAUUUGUCUCGCGAUUUAGAGGCAAACUGUGUAAUUAGUUUUUUAUUUUUAUCUAUAUUUAAUGUUCCAUGCAUGUGCCGUAAGAUUCCAUGUGAUGACUGAGAUCUUGAAAAAAUUUAGUUUUGGGGUGAACAAGGCCAAAAAUACAAAGACAACAAGCCAUGGUCAAUAUGUUUUUUUUCCAUUCACUUUUGGUCACUCACGCCUGCAUGCUUCGGGCUUAAAUUAGCUAACGGUGGAAGUUUCCACCUUCUCUUCUGUCAUUGAGUUGCUUAAAAAUAACAUACUAAUAAUUAAUACACAAUAAAAUAAAAAAAUGAAUUGAGAUACUAUCGCAAAUUUGCCAUGAAAGCUAGCACCGGUCAUAUAUAUGUGCUAUUUGAGUCCUUAUAAAACUAAAAAAAUUAUAUAAACUAGUACCAACAGUUAAAACUAAAAAAAUAUCUAUAUACCAAGAAAUUGUGUAUAUAUUCAGACCUUGUUUAGUUCCAAAACUUUUUGCAAAACGAACACCGUAGAAUUUUUAUUUGUAUUUGACAAAGAUGUGACACAGAAUCUUUAAAUGAUAAUUGCUUGAUGUCAUGAAUAUUAGGAGCAUGUUCGCUUGUCUUAUAAGCCGUACUUUUUCUACUAGUCAUGAUUUUCUCGCACAAUAAAUCAGCGAAUAAUAUUUCUUUCUUUGUGUACAAUUGUUCGAUAUCAUUAACAUUAUUGUUUCUUUCCUUAGUGUAGAAUUGAUCCAAUUUGAGAUACGUGUAAAAAAAAAGCUAAUCCUCUGGUGGUGCCCUAUUUAAAGUGAGAUGAUAUUAGCUUAGUUUAUCCCAAAACCCAAUUUUCUUUUCAAAAUUCUCUAUCACAUCGGAAUUUUACAGCACUUCUCCGGUGGUGCUUUUAAAGAAAAUCAUGAGAAUAUUUUAAUUGGUGGUAUGAGUCUAUGGAGCA